RNAcentral lists this transfer RNA (67 nucleotides) under Ictidomys tridecemlineatus (thirteen-lined ground squirrel). RNAcentral describes it as "Spermophilus tridecemlineatus (thirteen-lined ground squirrel) tRNA". It matches the Rfam family "tRNA". From Rfam's summary of the family: Transfer RNA (tRNA) molecules are approximately 80 nucleotides in length. Their secondary structure includes four short double-helical elements and three loops (D, anti-codon, and T loops). The record is from Rfam by way of RNAcentral. Lineage: Eukaryota; Metazoa; Chordata; Mammalia; Rodentia; Sciuridae.
GGGGUUGUGGCUCAGUGGUAGAGCACUUGCCUAGAAUACAUGAGGCCCUAGGUUCAAUUCAGCACCA